UUGCCUACGGGAGGCAGCAGUAGGGAAUAUUGCUCAAUGGGGGAAAACCUGAAGCAGCAACACCGCGUGGGGGGUGAAGGUUUUCGGAUUGUAAACUCCUUUUGUUAGAGAAGAUAAUGACGGUAUCUAACGAAUAAGCACCGGCUAACUCCGUGCCAGCAGCCGCGGUAAUACGGAAGGUGGAAGCGUUACUCGGAAUCACUGGGCGUAAAGAGCGCGUAGGCGGGAUAGCAAGUCAGAUGUGAAAUCCAAUGGCUUAACCAUAGAA
Molecule: ribosomal RNA, 268 nt
Filed under: uncultured bacterium
Lineage: Bacteria
Description: partial 16S ribosomal RNA
Rfam family: Bacterial small subunit ribosomal RNA
Source: RNAcentral